Molecule: ribosomal RNA, 1284 nt
Filed under: Triticum aestivum (bread wheat)
Lineage: Eukaryota; Viridiplantae; Streptophyta; Magnoliopsida; Poales; Poaceae
Description: partial small subunit ribosomal RNA
Source: RNAcentral
AUGCAGCAAGGAUGGAGUAAUACCAUUCGAAAGGCGAAACGUCAGGGCAUUUCACAAACAGAUUCUGGUGAGGAAUAUGAAGUAGGAAUGCACCACGAGGAGGACAUAGACGAGCAGCAGCAGGUGGUGCGCGUACCAGAAGGCGUUGAAGCCGGCCAGGUGGUGCAGCGGCGACGGCAGCUUGACGACGCUCCGCCUGAAGGUGUGCAUGGCCAGCGUGAAGGAGAAGGUCAUGAUGAUGAUCAUGAGGAUGCCGGUGACCCCUGGGGCGCUGGCCAGCAGGUCCGGGUACGUCGGCUGCCUGAAGCCGAAGUUGGGGCCCAGCAGGGCCAUGAACUUGUCGCUCGGGCAGGAGAUGAGCCUGGGGAAGUCGCAGGUGACGUGGGCGAGCGUGUGCACCACGGUGCCGACGGCGAUGGCGCCGGCGAGCACCUUGUGGAAGUUGAUGUUGUCGUCGAAGGGGAUGACGUGGCUGAGCGCGGUGGAGCGGAGGGUGGUGAGCGUGUUGCGGCAGACGGGCAGCAGGAUGAGCGCCAUGUUGAGCUUGAGCGUCUCGGCGGCGCCCUUGGCGACGCAGACGCAGUUUCCCAUGACCUGGAAGGAGGACCGGUGCUUGUACUGCUCGAACUUGUAGACGAAGAGGGCGAGGUUGGCGGCCAGCCAGAGCGUCACCAGCCAUAUCCGCUUCCAGUUCUCGUGGAUGAAGUCCAUGGUCCUGGUGACGUGCCGCUUCAGCGGGCUCCGGUACCGCAUCGGGAUCAUCGUCCUCGCCAGGCUCGACGUCGUCCGCUUCAGCUUCACCUCCGGCGCCUGCGCGCUCACCAUCCCGCGGAGCAAAGUCUCCAGCUGCCAAAUCUGCAUUGGAGGUUUGGAGGUCAGCGACUCGCGCCCUCUGAAGUUACUUUCGACAUGGCGACCACUACUAGUAGUCUAUUAUUACUGCCGUACCUCGAUGUAGCCGCGGUCGUCGGGGUCGAGCUCCUCCAUGAUCAGCGACGAGUAGGUCGCGGCGUGGCUCUUGAGCUUGGCCAGCUUGUUCGCCGACGCGCUCAAUAUAAUAACCUGUCAGCAGCGAAUAAAAACAACAGGUUGAUUGUUCAUUUCUCAUUGUUUCAGAAUACAGUAGAUCCCAUCGAGCAAAAGAAAAUCCCCACCUCCUUGACCUCAUCUUCCGUGAGCAUCCCAUCGCCGUUCUUGUCGCACCUGUUCGUGCCAAAUUUCAUCCAUCAGCAGGUUCGGUUAAUGAGCUCCAACGUUGAUGCUAAAAUCAGACUGAACCUAUAG